UCAAGCAUGGAGAGGGGAAAGGGUGGUGGCAGAACCCAGAUUCAUGACUUGAAAGUAUGUCAGACUUUAAAAGGCUCAGAAUUAGAGUUUCCUGGGACUGUCAGUAGGGGGUGGAAGGGCGGGGGUGCAGCAGGCUAGGUUGAGCUGCCAAUUUAGUGGGAUGGAGAAGAGAGUUUGGGAAUAUUUUUGAAAAUAUUUUUGGGUUGAAGCAAUCUGGAGAAAUUCAGGGAAAAAGAAGUUGUUUUUCUCUUAAAUUUUUAGUU
Molecule: long non-coding RNA, 263 nt
Filed under: Bos taurus (domestic cattle)
Lineage: Eukaryota; Metazoa; Chordata; Mammalia; Artiodactyla; Bovidae
Description: long non-coding RNA NONBTAT011789
Source: RNAcentral